CCUGAGGGUUGUAAAGCACUUUCAGUGGGGAGGAGGUUGCGUAGGUUAAGAGCUAACGUAAUGGACGUUACCCACAGAAGAAGCACCGGCUAACUCCGUGC
This 101-nucleotide ribosomal RNA is filed under the name uncultured bacterium. RNAcentral describes it as "partial 16S ribosomal RNA". The record is from RNAcentral.